AUGUGGCGGGUCUGUGGGCACCAUGCUGAUGCGGAGAAGGAGGUGCAUGUAGCGGGGGCGCUUGAGGUGAGGUGGCUGCAGGGUCGCUCGAGAAGAACAGGCUCAUCAGCACCACCUGGAUGCCUUCGUCAUCAGCAAUGUGGACAAGGGCAUCUGUUCCUCCUCCCAUGGUCAGCACCACCACCUACUCUGAAUCUCCGAUCAGAAUAUUGCUCCUCCCUAGCUUUGGUUUGGUCUGAACUUCAAAGUUUUCAUCGACUCAAUGUUGAUUCAGUCAAAGAUCUCUUGGAAAAAUUAUUUGGACAAGAUUCACUCUAUAAUGUUGUUAUCAUUGUCCUCUGGAAUAUAUGGAAGCGCAAAAACUCCAAGGUCUCCCGGGAUGUUUUUGAGGAAUUGCACAUUACUGCUAGCAAGAUUGCUGAUGAUUGA
RNAcentral lists this ribosomal RNA (429 nucleotides) under Triticum aestivum (bread wheat). Its description in RNAcentral is "partial small subunit ribosomal RNA". The record is from RNAcentral. Lineage: Eukaryota; Viridiplantae; Streptophyta; Magnoliopsida; Poales; Poaceae.